GCGAACGCUGGCGGCAGGCUUAACACAUGCCAGUCGAACGGGCAUCUUCGGAUGUCAGUGGCAGACGGGUGAGUAACACGUGGGAACGUACCCUUCGGUUCGGAAUAACUCAGGGAAACUUGAGCUAAUACCGGAUACGCCCUUUUGGGGAAAGGUUUACUGCCGAAGGAUCGGCCCGCGUCUGAUUAGCUUGUUGGUGGGGUAACGGCCUACCAAGGCGACGAUCAGUAGCUGGUCUGAGAGGAUGAUCAGCCACACUGGGACUGAGACACGGCCCAGACUCCUACGGGAGGCAGCAGUGGGGAAUAUUGGACAAUGGGCGCAAGCCUGAUCCAGCCAUGCCGCGUGAGUGAUGAAGGCCUUAGGGUUGUAAAGCUCUUUUGUCCGGGACGAUAAUGACGGUACCGGAAGAAUAAGCCCCGGCUAACUUCGUG
Molecule: ribosomal RNA, 434 nt
Filed under: uncultured bacterium
Lineage: Bacteria
Description: partial 16S ribosomal RNA
Rfam family: Bacterial small subunit ribosomal RNA
Source: RNAcentral